RNAcentral lists this ribosomal RNA (245 nucleotides) under uncultured bacterium. Its description in RNAcentral is "partial 16S ribosomal RNA". It matches the Rfam family "Bacterial small subunit ribosomal RNA", at positions 524 to 768 of the family's 1533-position model. The record is from RNAcentral.
GACGGAGGGGGCGAGCGUUGUCCGGAAUUACUGGGCGUAAAGAGCGUGUAGGCGGCCCACUAAGUCGGUUGUGAAAGCCCCGGGCUCAACUCGGGGAGGCCGACCGAUACUGGCGGGCUGGAGUGCGGGAGAGGAAAGUGGAACUACCGGUGUAGCGGUGAAAUGCGUAGAGAUCGGUAGGAACACCCGUGGCGAAGGCGGCUUUCUGGACCGCAACUGACGCUGAGACGCGAAAGCUAGGGGAG